Molecule: ribosomal RNA, 470 nt
Filed under: uncultured bacterium
Lineage: Bacteria
Description: partial 16S ribosomal RNA
Rfam family: Bacterial small subunit ribosomal RNA
Source: RNAcentral
GACGAACGCUGGCGGCGUGCUUAACACAUGCAAGUCGAACGCUGAAGCUUGGUGCUUGCACUGGGUGGAUGAGUGGCGAACGGGUGAGUAAUACGUGAGUAACCUGCCCUUGACUCUGGGAUAAGCCUGGGAAACUGGGUCUAAUACUGGAUAUGACAUGCCACUGCAUGGUGGUGUGUGGAAAGGGUUUUACUGGUUUUGGAUGGGCUCACGGCCUAUCAGCUUGUUGGUGGGGUAAUGGCCUACCAAGGCGACGACGGGUAGCCGGCCUGAGAGGGUGACCGGCCACACUGGGACUGAGACACGGCCCAGACUCCUACGGGAGGCAGCAGUGGGGAAUAUUGCACAAUGGGCGGAAGCCUGAUGCAGCGACGCCGCGUGAGGGAUGACGGCCUUCGGGUUGUAAACCUCUUUCAGCACGGAAGAAGCGAGAGUGACGGUACGUGCAGAAGAAGCGCCGGCUAACUACG